This 322-nucleotide unclassified non-coding RNA is filed under the name fungal sp. RNAcentral's name for it is "partial internal transcribed spacer region". The stretch from base 1 to 46 matches the Rfam family "Eukaryotic small subunit ribosomal RNA", at positions 1786 to 1831 of the family's 1831-position model. Lineage: Eukaryota; Fungi. The record is from RNAcentral.
AAGUCGUAACAAGGUUUCCGUAGGUGAACCUGCGGAAGGAUCAUUAACACUUUAUCCUUUAUAUAAACAACUGUGAACAUGUUACCCUACCUGUCAGUUCCACUAACAAUGGAAGGAAUCGUCAGUUUAGUUUUUUGGUUUAACUAUUCUGGCUAGAAGUCUCUGAGCUUCAAGAUUUUACUGAUAGGCAUUUUUAUCAACCAUUAAUUUUAACAACUUUAACUUUAAACUGAACUAAUCUAUGCUUCUCUAGCAGCAAUGCUAGUAGAAUCAAGUUAUACGAAACUAAGAACAACUCUUAGCAAUGGAUAUCUUGGUUCCC